GGAUUAGCUAGUUGGUGAGGUAAAGGCUCACCAAGGCGACGAUCCGAACUGGUCUGAGAGGAUGAUCAGUCCCACUGGAACUGAGACACGGUCCAUUCUAAAACGGGAGGCAGCAGUGGGGAAUAUUGGACAAUGGGCGAAAGCCUGAUCCAGCCAUGCCGCGUGUGUGAAGAAGGUCUUCGGAUUGUAAAGCACUUUAAGUUGGGAGGAAGGGCAGUAAGUUAAUACCUUGCUGUUUUGACGUUACCGACAGAAUAAGUACCGGCUAACUCUGUGCCAGCAGCCGCGGUAAUACAGAGGGUGCAAGCGUUAAUCGGAAUUACUGGGCGUAAAGUGCGCGUAGGUGGUUCGUUAACUUGGAUGUGAAAGCCCCGGGCUCAACCUGGGAACUGCAUCCAAAACUGGCGAGCUAGAGUACGGUAGAGGGUGGUGGAAUUUCCUGUGUAGCGGUGAAAUGCGUAGAUAUAGGAAGGAACACCAGUG
RNAcentral lists this ribosomal RNA (483 nucleotides) under uncultured Pseudomonas sp. RNAcentral describes it as "bacterial SSU rRNA". It matches the Rfam family "Bacterial small subunit ribosomal RNA", at positions 238 to 714 of the family's 1533-position model. The record is from RNAcentral. Lineage: Bacteria; Pseudomonadati; Pseudomonadota; Gammaproteobacteria; Pseudomonadales; Pseudomonadaceae.